GGCCGCUUAGCUCAGUUGGUAGAGCACCUCCUUUACACGGAGAUUGUCGGGAGUUCGAGCCUCUCAGCGGCUACCA
This 76-nucleotide transfer RNA is filed under the name Sulfitobacter sp. R18_1. Its description in RNAcentral is "tRNA-Val". It matches the Rfam family "tRNA". From Rfam's summary of the family: Transfer RNA (tRNA) molecules are approximately 80 nucleotides in length. Their secondary structure includes four short double-helical elements and three loops (D, anti-codon, and T loops). The record is from RNAcentral. Lineage: Bacteria; Pseudomonadati; Pseudomonadota; Alphaproteobacteria; Rhodobacterales; Roseobacteraceae.